AAUGAUGUAGUGUGUGUGUUCACAGCAUGAGCAUCCAGCAGCUCGCAGUUAUCAAGUUAGGCUCCCAGAAAAGGCAUGCCCAGUUAGUGAUUGUGGAAGGAUCGAAUUAAGCAACUUGCCUAGCAUUACUAGCAACUCUGUGGUAGAGCCCAGGAUACGGACAGAUUCUGCACUGCAGCAUUCAAGUGCCAUAACCUUGACAGAAUCUUUUUCUCUUGCAGUCUCCUGCUUUUCUUUCAACUUCUACAGCAAAUGAGAAGUAUCUGAGACUGCUGUAGCUUUAUGGAUCUAGGUUUGAGUAAGACUAUAUCCACUGUACUUGGGACUCGUCCUUUACUUCAGGUUUGAGAAAACACUUCAAGUCAAAUUCUGCUGUCUUUCCUCAGCAUGUGGGUUAGUCUCACCAACUCAGGAAUGCUACAAAAAUAGCAUAAGAAACCAGACA
This is a long non-coding RNA of Athene cunicularia (burrowing owl), 445 nucleotides long. RefSeq lists it as uncharacterized. The transcript has 3 exons. The record is from RefSeq and is a predicted model, not a curated record. Lineage: Eukaryota; Metazoa; Chordata; Aves; Strigiformes; Strigidae.